Syngnathus acus (greater pipefish) is the source of this 574-nucleotide long non-coding RNA. RefSeq lists it as uncharacterized. The transcript is spliced from 2 exons. NCBI's taxonomy places the organism in Eukaryota, Metazoa, Chordata, Actinopteri, Syngnathiformes, Syngnathidae. The record is from RefSeq and is a predicted model, not a curated record.
GAGCACAGAACCGGAAGUGGAGAUAAACACCCAAGUCCUACGUGCUGCGUUCCUGCUCUGCAUGUUUGUGCUGUUGGUUUGGAUUUACCCUGUUUGUACUCACACCUGAAGUAAACCCCACGAGAGUUCGUUUGGAAGUAUGUAGCCUACUCACCUGAGACGUCUUCACCGACGUGGAACCGUUGACGAGGAAGGAGCAGCACGCGUGAAGUCUGUGCCAGCAGCUGCAGCGCAAGUCUCAAGCCCCGGAGAGUGUCCGCUCCUUCACUUUGACAUCGUCCUUCUCGCCUGUCAUGGGUACUAAGCAAGGCGUCGUCUACUCACCGAGAUGUCUUCACCAACGUGGAACCGUUGACGAGGACGGAGGAGCAAAAGUCGGCCGGCGUCUGCCUGCCAUGCGUGGAGUUUGUGCCAGCAGCUGCAGCUCAAGUCCCGGAGGGAGUUCGCUCCGCCACUUUGACGUCGUCAUUCUCACCUGUCAAAUGUGUCCGUUUCAGUACUUGGCAAUUGGUGGGCAAAACGGGAAGCAUUAAAAACUGUCACUGCCUGACGUUAUGGCAGUACAUGAAGCGAG